Lactuca sativa (garden lettuce) is the source of this 2382-nucleotide non-coding RNA. Lineage: Eukaryota; Viridiplantae; Streptophyta; Magnoliopsida; Asterales; Asteraceae. The record is from RefSeq and is a predicted model, not a curated record.
ACAUUGUAUAUAGCUUAUACACGGUAUUAGGUAUUAGAUGGUAUCCUAAUCUUCUCUCUACACACAAUAAUAGCCGCCAUCACAAAAUCGAAACCCUAUUCUUUUCGUCUCCUUCCUACACACAACACUACUCACCAAAUCAAAGCCACCUGAGACGGACCCUAAAACUUCAAUCAAGAUUCUAGGUUCUUGCAAUGGAUUAGUAUGUUUAAUCGAUGGCACACGUGACAUAAUCAUCUAUAACCCAUGAACCAGAAGACAUUUCAAGCCAUUUCAAUCACCUCAACAAGUUCUUCAUUGCUCAAACCGGAUCGAAUUCGUGUAUGGAUUUGGGUGUGCAUCAAAAAACCCUAAUCGACCAAGCAUAUAGUGAUGAGCGUCCAUCACUACCUCCUUUGCGCAAAUACCUGAUCCACGUCACCUGCCAAGCUUCCACCUAUGUCGUCGGAGUAGCCGGAUGGGCCACCAGACUAAAACUCAGCAGCGAAUCUGUCGGAAUCGAACCAUUCAGGAGUACAUUCGUGGAACAAGGUGCCCCUUUCUCUUGGCACCCAUUUCGUCAUUGUCUUCUUCUGCACGAACCUCUCUCUCCUCUGAAACUUCUCCAUCACUCUUGCUUCUCAAACACACUUAUUUAGGGUUUAUCUUUCAUUAAAAUCAUCACUGCAGAAAGUAGCAGGAGCUUAAGAACACGAGAAUGAGUGUUUCAAAGUUCAUAAAAUCGUCUCUGUUGGUGAUGGAGCUGUUGGCAAGACUUGUAUGCUCAUUUGUUACACAAGCAGCAAGUUCCACAUUGUAAAUCUUUCUUUCUCUGUAUAUACAUACAUAUACAUUUUCAUGUAAUUUCUUGGAAAAACCCACUUUAUUUCAAAUUCUUUAGCUGUUAGCCUUCUUAUUUGUAGGAUUAUCUUCUGAAUUUGUUCUUCUGAGUAAGCUUAACCUAAUUUCAGAUUCUUUAGAUGUUCAUUUAUCCCCCUUCUUUUAAAUUAGACCUUCUUUUACAACUUCCACUUCACAAAUUACAAGUCACCAAAACAUUUUUACCUAAGUUUUUGCUAAGUAUAAUCUGUGGGUUUGAUCUUUUGGUUAAUUUCAGAGCUAAUGUGGAUGUGGAUGGAAAUAUGGUAAACUUAGGAUUAUGGGAUACUGCUGGUAUUUUCUUUAAAAUCCAAUAUUCAAUGAGUGCAUUGUACAGAAUUUGUUACAGGAUAUUUUGGGUAAUUAAUAAUUAUUUUCAUGUGAUUUAUUAGUAAUGUUAGUGGUGUUGUGAAGGUUCCGGAAGGACAUUGUUGGGUAGAAGGUGACAACUCAGCUUCUAGCUUUGAUUCAAGAUCAUUUGGCCCCAUAUGUUACCUUUAUAUUUGAUUAAUUAUGAUACCAUUUUGAAAUUUAACAUUUGUGGUUAUAUAGGAUUCUUUCCAUCAAGCUUGUUGUCUGCCACAAUAAGUCCGAUCACUAGAAUUGUUUUAAAGCUAACUCUUUUGACAACCAUUAGUAUGGAGUUUUUAUAUACAUCAUAUUGAUAUUGAGAUUCUUUUUAUGUAGAUCUGGUCUUAACUCCAGACUUUGUAUGGAAAGAUCGCUGGCAUGGUGCUGUACAAUGUUGGUGGAUUCUUGUUGAGGAUUCAGAGAAUGAUCAUAUCUACCACUCGGAACUUUUUACUUUGACAAAACGAGCAGCAAAAGGUGAACCACAUAAGCUUUCCUUCACUGUGCCAAUUUUUGAACCACAUCCUCCUCAAAACUACAUUCCUGUUGUUUCUGAUUCUUGGUUGCAUUCUAAGGCUUUCUAUACUAUCUCUUUUAAGAAUUGAGCCCUACCGAAGAGCCAUACGGCAUACACUGAACUUCUAGAUCUGAAGCCACUUCCUGUGACAGUUAGUUCUCAGCUUCUGGAAAAUGGGUUUUUGUUGGAGGAGGAUUUGGAUGCUCCUCCUGGGCAGCGUUAUAAAAUGAAAGUCGUCCCUACCAGUAAGAACAUAACUUUUGGUGUUGCAGUGUAGAUCCGGUUUUGAAUUACUAAUGUUGGAACUUCAAUUGUUGGUGUUUGUUUUUCGUUCUGCGACAGCCUAUAAGGCUCGAUAUCAAGAGGAAGCUUGCUCAAAGAUCAGAAAGAGUAAAAUCGGUGGACCUGUAUCCUACGGAACCAUGGGGUGUGACAGUUUUAUUCUUCCUGAUGAGCGACGAAUGACACACAAGAAUUGGGAGGAUCAGGACACAUGAAGGAAAAGAAACGAACAUGAAGCAUACAAAAAAAAUUGUUAAUGACCCCCUCUCCCUAGUCAUGCAAUCAUCCCCCACAAACUAAGCUUAUUUCCUUUUAUUAUUCUUUGAUCGAUGACACAACAAUAACAAUGUAUCGAUUUAGUUAUCAAUGGUUAU